GAAUAUUGGACAAUGGGCGAAAGCCUGAUCCAGCGACGCCGCGUGUGUGAAGAAGGCCUGCGGGUUGUAAAGCACUUUCGAUGGGAACGAAAUGUGUCGGGGUAAUACCCCGGCAAGCUGACGUUACUCACUGAAGAACCACCGGCUAACUCUGUGCCAGCAGCCGCGGUAAGACAGAGGGUGCGAGCGUUAAUCGGAAUUACUGGGCGUAAAGCGCACGUAGGUGGCGACGUAAGUCGGGUGUGAAAGCCCCGGGCUCAACCUGGGAAUUGCAUUCGAGACUGCAUUGCUGGAGUACGGAAGAGGAGGGCGGAAUUCCCGGUGUAGCGGUGAAAUGCGUAGAUAUCGGGAGGAACAUCAGUGGCGAAGGCGGCCCUCUGGUCCAGUACUGACACUCAAGUGCGAAAGCGUGGGGAGCAAACAGGA
RNAcentral lists this ribosomal RNA (426 nucleotides) under uncultured bacterium. Its description in RNAcentral is "bacterial SSU rRNA". It matches the Rfam family "Bacterial small subunit ribosomal RNA", at positions 359 to 777 of the family's 1533-position model. The record is from RNAcentral.